RNAcentral lists this ribosomal RNA (1908 nucleotides) under human gut metagenome. RNAcentral's name for it is "bacterial LSU rRNA". It matches the Rfam family "Bacterial large subunit ribosomal RNA", at positions 1 to 1988 of the family's 2925-position model. The record is from RNAcentral.
UGAAGUAAGUAAGGGCGUACGGUGAAUGCCUUGGUGCCAACAGGCGAAGAAGGACGCGGCAAGCUGCGAAAAGCCUCGGGAAGCUGCAAGCAAGCGAUGAUCCGGGGAUAUCCGAAUGGGGUAACCUGAUCGAGGCAAUACUCGAUCGUUCAUACCUGAAUACAUAGGGUAUGAAACGCGAAACCCGCUGAAGUGAAACAUCUCAGUAAGCGGAGGAAAAGAAAGAGAAAUCGAUUCCGUAAGUAGUGGCGAGCGAAAGCGGAUGGAGCCCAAACCGAAGGUAUUCCUUCGGGGUUGUAGGACCACGUCAUAUUCGACCAUACUGGAUAGUAGAACAGCCUGGAAAGGCUGGCCGGAGAAGGUGAAAGCCCUGUAGACGAAAUCCAGAGUGGGAAUUAGUGGUAUCCUGAGUAAUACAUCACACGUGGAACGAUGUAUGAACCCGCGCGGACCACCGCGCAAGGCUAAAUACUAGUUGGCGACCGAUAGUGAACAAGUACCGCGAGGGAAAGGUGAAAAGAACCGCUGUGAGCGGAGUGAAAUAGAACCUGAAACCGUAUGUCUACAAAGUGUCAGAGCAGAGCAAUCUGCGAUGGCGUGCCUUUUGUUUAAUGAGUCUGCGAGUCAGUGUUUGUGGCAAGACUAAGGGCUUCCGGCCCGGAGUCGCAGCGAAAGCAAGUCCGAACAGGGCGCAAUAAGUCGCAGGUACUGGACCCGAAGCGGAGGUGACCUACCCUUGGCCAGGUUGAAGCAUGGGUAAAACCAUGUGGAGGACCGAACAGGUGAACGUUGAAAAGUUCUCUGAUGAGCUGAGGGUAGGAGUGAAAGGCUAAUCAAACCCCGUGAUAGCUGGUUCUCUUCGAAAUGCAUUUAGGUGCAGCGUCACGUGCUGAUGCGCGGGGGUAGAGCACUGACAAGGCUAGGGGGCACACCCGCUUACCAAACCUUAUCAAACUCCGAAUACCGUGCAAUGGAACGUGGCAGUGAGACAGUGGGGGAUAAGCUUCAUUGUCGAGAGGGAAACAACCCAGACCAGCAGCUAAGGUGCCUAAAUAACGCUCAGUGGAAAGGAUGUGGGAUUACACAGACAGUGAGGAUGUUGGCUUAGAAGCAGCCACCAUUUAAAAAAUGCGUAAUAGCUUACUCAUCGAGUGAUCCUGCGCCGAAAAUGAUUGGCGAUCAAGCGUUAUACCGAAGCUCUGGACUUUGCCGCAAGGCAGAGUGGUAGAAGAGCGUUGCAUGCGCGUCGAAGGGCGAUGGCGACUGACCCUGGAGCACAUGCAAGUGAGUAUGCAGACAUGAGUAACGUUAAGCCGGGUGAAAUCCCCGGCCGCCGUAAACCCGAGGUUUCCAGGGCAACGUGUUUCGUCCCUGGGUUAGCCGGGACCUAAGCCGAGGCCGAGAGGCGUAGGCGAUGGACAUCAGGUUAAUAAUCCUGAGCUCGCAACCCUUAAACUGGGGGGACGCAUGAGAAAAGAUGACUAGGUUAUUGAAUUCCGAGUUGAGUCCACGGACUCAGCGCAUCAUUGGAUCGAGUGCCAAGAAAAGCCCCAGCGUAUGCUAAGCGACCCGUACCGCAAACCGACACAGGUGGGUGGGUAGAAUAUACCAAGGCGUAAGAGUGAAACCUGGUUAAGGAACUCGGCAAAUUAGCCCCGUAACUUCGGAAGAAGGGGUGCCUGCAGCGAUGCAGGCCGCAGAGAAAUGGCCCAACCGACUGUUUAUCAAAAACACAGCACUCUGCAAAGACGCAAGUCGAAGUAUAGGGUGUGACACGUGACCAAUGCCGAAAGAUUAAGGCAAGGGGUUAGCCGCAAGGCGAAGCUCUAAACCCAAGUCCCGGUGAAUGUCGGCCGUAACUAUAACGGUCCUAAGGUAGCGAAAUUCCUUGUCGGGUAAGUUCCGACC